GGGCAGCGAUCGGAGUGCGGCGGGGCGGGGAAGCGGCCCGGGGCCGCGGUCGGGGACUCGGGCCUGCGGCCUCACCUCGCCGUGCAGGAGGGUUGUUUUCCCCGGGUCCCAGUUCGGGACCGGCAGAGCGGCCGUCUCUUCGACUUGACGGCAAGGACGGAUUCCCAGAUUUGUAGCUUGUAGAACAAGCGGAGGCAACGACGGAGCCUUCAUUUGAGAAAGAGGCACAAUAGGAGAAGAUAUCGAAAAAAGGAUCAACUCCCCCUCCCCCUCCCGACUCAUUCAACUUCUGCCUGUUACCUGUGAUCAUCUCAGCCUCCAUGAGAGCAGGAAAUGGCUGUGGAGCACUUAUCUCAGGAGCCUGAGCUUUGCAGAGGUGGCCAUGUAUUGCAGCAGGGAAGAGGGAGCACUGCUGGAUGCUGCGCAGCAAACACUCUACCAGGAUGUGACGGUGGAGACAUAUGGGUCUGUGGCCUCACUGGCCCCCAAACCCAUGGUGAUCUCUGUGCUUGAAGGAGAGGAAGGCCCCUCGAUCCCAGAUGUGCACAGCCUGAAGGACACGGCAGGAGACCUCAGCCCAGGAUAUGGGAUCACAAAUACGAAGGAGAGGCUGCAGGAGAUGGGUGUGGCUGGAAGAAAGUGGAAUGGUGCCUCAGUGGGGAGAAUCAGAAGGGGUGCCCAAAGGGGUCGGGAGCAAGGGAAGCACUUCAGGAAGCCACAGGGAAACCAUCCAGAAGAGAGAGGGGAACCCCUUGGUCUGCAGCACAGGCCAAAAGCCUCUUGAAGACCCUGAGGAGCAAGGAAGCGUGCCAGAAGAGAAGGCAGAACCCAAGGGGCACCGGGGACUUCCAACACCUUUCCUUUCAGCAGGCUUCUCCACUGGAAUCUGCAGCUGAAUGUGCCAGCUCCUUUGCACAGACUCCCACGUGCUUUCCUCAGGGAAGUCCCUGCACACAGGCAUGGAAGGAGGCCCAGAACAUGAGAACCCUCCCUGCCCAGGACUGUUCCUGCGAUGUCAUCUGCAGUAGUGGAGGUCUCACCUAGCUGUGCUGAGAGCUGGGAGAGGGGAGAGGCAGAGGGAGGCCCAGGUGACAUGGCGGGGAGGUGGCUGGGAGGCCAUUCCUCCUCCAGGACCGGGACUGCCCGGGGGCAAGCAGCACACAGUGGGAUGUCAUGGAAUGUGGCACGACUCCUGUGACACAGAGGACAGCUCAGGCAGGGAGGCAGCUGCAUAGCCAGCAGGGCUGGGCUGCUGCUUGUGAGGUCACCUCACUGCAACACUGGGCUUGGCCACGAGCAGGCGGGCAGUGAGAGAGCAUUGGGAAGAGCAGCUGAGAAAGCUGCAUGCAGGGGCCUGGGCCCUGGUGAGGCCCUGCCUCAGUGACACUGCCGGGAUGUGGGGGAGUAGGGGAUGAGGCAUGGACACUGCCCAGGGUGGUAGUGGGGUGAGAAGGGAGCAGAGGGGCACUGCCCCGUGGGGGGAGAGAGUGGUGUGAGAAGGGAGCAGAGAUAAAGCAGUGCUGUUAGGAGCAGCAGUAUCUCACAUACUGUUGAAGGGUACACAGAGGAGAAAUAGCCAGCCUAGGGGUGACACCUUCUUGGCUGAUCUCUCAUUUUAUGGGGCUCCAGUCACUGUCCACCCUGGGCAUUCACAGUCCGUGGAGAACUUGUAGGCUCUCCACACAGCUCCACGUUCUUUUCCUGGGGAAUGUCCCUGCCACACGUGGGACAGCCAUGGGGGUAUAGCUGACUGACCAAUCACCAUCUCCACUGUCAUCAGGUGCCACUCGGUCAUAAACCCUAAUCUCAGUCUGUCACAGGGAGCAGUUGAAACAUUGUGCAAGUGCUCUGGUUGUACAGAGCUGCAAAUCCAAUCUCACCUACUGUCAGUGCAUCCAUUCAGCUACAAAAUCCCCUGAAUUCUUCUCCCUUUGGUCUUGCCUUCUGUUGAACAGAAGAGCACUAACAGGAGAGCUGUGUCCCAGCUGGA
Long non-coding RNA from Gallus gallus (chicken), 1990 nucleotides. RefSeq lists it as uncharacterized. The transcript is spliced from 8 exons. The record is from RefSeq and is a predicted model, not a curated record. NCBI's taxonomy places the organism in Eukaryota, Metazoa, Chordata, Aves, Galliformes, Phasianidae.